AUGGAUGCCCUGUAUACUCCCAUCGCAGGAGAAACCCCCAAGACUCGUGCCUUGGAGGAGGCACGUUUGGCCAAUUUGGCCGAACGCGCUCGCCUGGAGAAUCUUCAGCGAGCACUCGACGAGCGCGCGCGGCAACGAGUUCCCGACGCCAAUCGACGUCAACUCUUCCCGCCGACUCAGGUAUAUCGAACCCCAAUCCAGAAUUUAGCAGCUGCGACCCGUAUAGCAGAGUCCAUUCAGCCCUCUCAGUCGGAAGCUGGCAGAGGCUUGAUGCAGAUCAGGGAUCUGCUCCGGGCAGCAGGAGAUCAGAAUUCAGCCAUGUCGCAGUCGCGCAACAGAAUUCAUAGUCGAUCCGUCACUGCGAAUACGGUUCAGUCGGCUCACAGCCCCAGAUCGCCUCCGCGGCGUGAAGGGCGCGAGAAUCGGCGAGACCAAUAUGGAGACCGACACGACCGAGAUGAUAGGCGUCGAGUGCCCAAUUCCCCUCUGAGGGGUGGGUCUUACGCCCCUCGGCAGCAAGAUGACAGACGUCAGCUCAGUGCGGGGCGAAGAGUUCCAGUCGACCCCAGAGAACCAGGCUUCGAUGCGCGAUCCAUUAUCGUGCAAGGCUUGGUCGACCGGAACAGAGCCCAUCAAGGUGGACUCGACAGAGAUGCGCCUACGAGCAGUCGAGUGCACAUUUCUGGUCCGGAAUGUUUCAGCAGAGCUAUCAGAGCCGCAGUGAUUCCUCCCAAUUUCAGGUUGGCAACAGGAGUCAGCAAGUUCACGGGUGAGUCUAAGCCUGAAACUUGGCUUGAGGACUACCGAGUGGCAGUUCAGAUUGGUGGUGGGAAUGACGAGGUGGCCAUGAAGCAUUUUCCCCUCAUGUUGGAAGGUUCUGCCAGAGCGUGGUUGAAUCAGUUACCUCCUAGCAGCAUUUACACUUGGGAAGAUCUGUCCCGAGUGUUCGUCAGAACGUUUGAAGGAACUUGUAAGCGACCGGCUGGAUUGACGGAGCUGCAAGUCUGCGUGCAGAAGACCAAUGAGACUCUCAGGGAGUAUAUUCAGAGAUGGAUCACUUUGCACCAUACUGUGGAGAAUGUGUCUGAUCAUCAGGCAGUCUGCGCCUUCAAGGAUGGUGUCAAGAAUAGAGAAUUGAGUUUGAAAUUUGGUCGAACCGGUGACAUGACCUUGAGUCGGAUGAUGGAAAUUGCUACCAAGUACGCCAACGGCGAAGAAGAAGACCGACUCCGAAGCGGCAAGCACAAGCCGAGCCAGUCGGAGAAGGGAAACACCAGUCGGAAACAGAAGCGGAAGGCUGAACCGGCAGCUCCUGGAGAGGCUUUGGCCGUGGCUCAUGGAAAGUUUAAGGGGAAACCAAAAGGAUCCUGGAACCCUAAGAAG
RNAcentral lists this ribosomal RNA (1383 nucleotides) under Triticum aestivum (bread wheat). RNAcentral's name for it is "partial small subunit ribosomal RNA". The record is from RNAcentral. Lineage: Eukaryota; Viridiplantae; Streptophyta; Magnoliopsida; Poales; Poaceae.